UUAGGAAGAUUUCAUACUUCCUGAGAAUAAAAUGUAUACCGCAAUACCCGAGUUCGAAUCCUGACGAAAUCAUCUAGGCUCUAAUUAGUAUUUUGUAAUAGAUUCUUUAUAAUAGUGAAGUUGAAGGUCACGGUCGGUCAUUACGAUAUUACCGAUCAGCUGUCAAAUGCGAGAUGACGUUUUGUGUACCGACCGGAGGCAAUGCUCAUGUGAUGUGUUAGUUAUGUGCCAUAGUUUCGGAUAUUUUAAGUAAUAGAAAUCUUUAUUAAUUUGCGAUUAGCAAAUAAUGUGUUCUGGAUCGAAUUAUAGAAGGGGUGAGUUGCAUAGUUAUUAAUAGUAGGGGGCCUAACUUUAGCUUUUAUGGUGUUCUUUUUAAAAUGUUGAUUUCUCGAUUGUCGUAGCCUAACGGGAAUGCCCUUCUUGGAGCCUGUUAUUUACAAACCCUGAAUACAGCUAGCCGAGGUCUGGUUUUGGCAGAGUUCCAGCAUAAGAUAGAAAAACUCUCCUGGCGCCUAAAACCUAGGAUAAGAUUUAGCCUAAGUGUUUGUUGUGUGCAAUAAAUUAGAUAAAACGUCUGUGUAGCAUCAUUGAACAUCAUUGGAACCCGUAACAAAAUAGCGCCCAACGUUAAAAACUAAAGGGUUUGCAUUGAUAUUAGCCCAGUUGUAACAUAAUUAAGCGAGUAACAUUAAGUGGACGGCGGUACCCGCGUUCAAAAUAAUAUUAGGUAUACAUCGCAGCGGCGCGCUCAUGCCUUGCAAGAUUACAUACACUUAACGGGAAUUAUUUUAUAAUUAAGAUAGUGUUACACCGGGUUGCGAUUUUUACCCGGCGUUCUUGCAUUGUAAUAGCUACGUUAUAUUGAAGUAAAAUGGACGUACUAUCAUGAAUGUUAUGCAGGGUUGUCACAUUGAACAUAUAGGUAA
Molecule: long non-coding RNA, 926 nt
Organism: Maniola jurtina (meadow brown)
Lineage: Eukaryota; Metazoa; Arthropoda; Insecta; Lepidoptera; Nymphalidae
Exons: 3
Source: RefSeq, a predicted model, not a curated record